This is a long non-coding RNA of Phasianus colchicus (ring-necked pheasant), 1134 nucleotides long. RefSeq lists it as uncharacterized. NCBI's taxonomy places the organism in Eukaryota, Metazoa, Chordata, Aves, Galliformes, Phasianidae. The record is from RefSeq and is a predicted model, not a curated record.
CGCCUUGACACGCGGCUUCGGAGCCUGGGCGCAUGCGCGGAGUAGUGGCUCGCAGAGGGAGGCGGUGCUGCGCGCGCAAUGGAGUGUUGGUAGCGGUUCGUCCCUGAGGCGGAGUUCAUCUCCUGCCAUCUGUCAGCUACCUUUCUGUGUGAAGCAGUUGUAUUAUGUUUGAUUUUAUAUUGAUAUUUGAGAGGCUGCUGCUGCUUCACUGUAAUUUCAUAAUGGGUUGUAGUUUUCAUACAGUUUAUUAUUUGCCAUGCAAAAGAACCAAAGUUUUGUUGCUGUUAGUUAUGGAAAUGCUACUUUGAAUACUGUGGUGAGAUAAAGUGGAGCUCUAAAUCAAUGAGAAGAGCAAAUACGAAAGUUGUUGGAAAAGUAACAAGCCUGAUUUCAGCAGCUUAGAAGCUGUUCAGUGGCAACUCUGGUGAUCAUAAUCUAUGCUGCUUUGCUAAGGAUUCCCAGACAUGCAAGCUUACUGCAGACAUGAACCAGAGGUAUGGGUUCUACAGGCUUUUUCACGCCUUAUCUGUACUCAAGGUGAAUGAGAAAGAAGGCAACGAGAUCAGCGUUGGUUGCAUGCUAUCUUCAUGUAGAACUCUUUUCAAUAUCAUUCACUACAAUAAAAUCAUGUAUGUGGUUAGAUACUUGGCUAAUUUCUAAGAUUACAAACAUAUAUAUGGUAAACAUAUACGUAAUAUCUAAUGGAAAACUAACAAAACAUUAUAUUUAUCCCUUAAUUUGUGAUAAAGCUGGGUUCCAUACUGGAAUUACUUGUCUUUCUUUCUGUUUUCCACUUUACUUGAUCAUAGCUUCCUAGAGUAACUGAAGUUAAGUCAAACGUGCUGCCUGUGCUGGUCAUUUACACUGGCUAAUCUGCUGUUAAUACCACAAUGCUGGUAACUAUUUCUGACAGCUAUUAUAAACAAUUUAUUAUAAUAGGCUGAUAUAUGUAGACAUCCUGAAAGAAUUAAUGUUAAAUAAUAAAUAUACUGUAGGUCUACUAAAGGAAUAAAAAAGAGAUACUAGAACUGGCAGUCCCAACAAACCUUCCCAAAGAAGUCUUUCUAAAAUUUCUUCCAAAGAAAGCGUAAGCUCCCGUCUUCCCUAGGCUUUUACUAUAAAACUGUGGUUCUC